This 101-nucleotide microRNA precursor is filed under the name Populus trichocarpa (black cottonwood). RNAcentral describes it as "miR156k stem-loop (ptc-MIR156k)". Its record names the gene ptc-MIR156k. Lineage: Eukaryota; Viridiplantae; Streptophyta; Magnoliopsida; Malpighiales; Salicaceae. The record is from miRBase by way of RNAcentral.
UUAUGCAUGCUGACAGAAGAGAGGGAGCACAACCCUGUAAUAGCUAAAGAGAGUCUUUGCUUUUGUUGGACUGUGCUUUCUCUUCUUCUGUCACCAACCAA